This 251-nucleotide long non-coding RNA is filed under the name Lathyrus oleraceus (garden pea). RNAcentral's name for it is "Pisum sativum (pea) long non-coding RNA (PSAT_LNC033614)". The record is from RNAcentral. Lineage: Eukaryota; Viridiplantae; Streptophyta; Magnoliopsida; Fabales; Fabaceae.
CAAAAUGGAAAAAGAAGGAAAAGAAAAUUGGGCGUUGGGGGUUGAACCUAUAACCUUGGGGUCAUGGGUCAACCCUUUUACCACUGAGCCAAGCACCCUUGGUUGUUAACUAGCGUGCCCCAUAAAAUAAAUAAUUAAUGGGCCAAAGUUGGCCCUUUGAUUAAGUCACUUAAAUAAAGUAAAACAAAUGAAUGGUCUGAUCAUGGAACACACAUGCACGUGCAUUGCCCUGGGAUACACACACACAUGCC